CCUACGGGAGGCAGCAGUGGGGAAUAUUGCACAAUGGGGGAAACCCUGAUGCAGCGACGCCGCGUGAGUGAAGAAGUAUUUCGGUAUGUAAAGCUCUAUCAGCAGGGAAGAUAAUGACAGUACCUGACUAAGAAGCCCCGGCUAACUACGUGCCAGCAGCCGCGGUAAUACGUAGGGGGCAAGCGUUAUCCGGGUUUACUGGGUGUAAAGGGAGCGUAGACGGAGUGGCAAGUCUGAAGUGAAAACCCUAGGCUUAACCUGGGGACUGCUUUGGAAACUGUUAAUCUAGAGUGUUGGAGAGGUAAGUGGAAUUCCUGGUGUAGCGGUGAAAGGCGUAGAUAUCAGGAAGAACACCGGAGGCGAAGGCGGCUUACUGGACAAUAACUGACGUUGAGGCUCGAAAGCGUGGGGAUCAAACAGGAUUAGAUACCCCAGUAGUC
This 440-nucleotide ribosomal RNA is filed under the name uncultured Oribacterium sp. RNAcentral's name for it is "bacterial SSU rRNA". It matches the Rfam family "Bacterial small subunit ribosomal RNA", at positions 338 to 795 of the family's 1533-position model. The record is from RNAcentral. Lineage: Bacteria; Bacillati; Bacillota; Clostridia; Lachnospirales; Lachnospiraceae.